GCUCUUCCAUUCUGGCAUGACCACGCCUAUAUCUGGGCUGUCAGCUUGACUGACUAUGGCGAUAAACGGCCGAUGCAAUAAGCCAUUCGGACCCGGGGGCGGUACCCGGCGCCUCCACCACGAGAUGCCGAAAGCGACAUUUCGUGAUGGGGGCGAAACAGGAUCGACGAGGGUGUAAAGAUCGGACUUUCGCUCGGCAUGAUACCACCGUUAUCGGGUCACAAUUAUAGUUGCCAACGACAACUAUGCUGAGGCUCGUCUCGCUGCCUAAUGGCGGUGCGACUGCUUCGAUCUAAGUCCUGACGGUUAGCCCCGUCAGGCGGGGCCCGGAGGCGCCUGGCAACAGAAGCCUCCACC
RNAcentral lists this transfer-messenger RNA (357 nucleotides) under Phyllobacteriaceae bacterium. It matches the Rfam family "Alphaproteobacteria transfer-messenger RNA". Rfam says of the family: Bacterial tmRNA, also known as 10Sa RNA or SsrA, is named for its dual tRNA and mRNA-like properties. The record is from RNAcentral. Lineage: Bacteria; Pseudomonadati; Pseudomonadota; Alphaproteobacteria; Hyphomicrobiales; Phyllobacteriaceae.